RNAcentral lists this ribosomal RNA (840 nucleotides) under uncultured bacterium. Its description in RNAcentral is "bacterial SSU rRNA". It matches the Rfam family "Bacterial small subunit ribosomal RNA", at positions 8 to 838 of the family's 1533-position model. The record is from RNAcentral.
AGAGUUUGAUCCUGGCUCAGAUUGAACGCUGGCGGUAUGCUUAACACAUGCAAGUCGAACGGUAACAGAGGAGAGCUUGCUCUCUUGCUGACGAGUGGCGGACGGGUGAGUAACGCGUAGGAAUCUGCCUAGUAGUGGGGGACAACUCGGAGAAAUCCGAGCUAAUACCGCAUACGCCCUACGGGGGAAAGCAGGGGAUCUUCGGACCUUGCGCUAUUAGAUGAGCCUGCGUUGGAUUAGCUUGUUGGUGAGGUAAUGGCUCACCAAGGCUGCGAUCCAUAGCUGGUCUGAGAGGAUGAUCAGCCACACUGGAACUGAGACACGGUCCAGACUCCUACGGGAGGCAGCAGUGGGGAAUAUUGGACAAUGGGCGAAAGCCUGAUCCAGCCAUGCCGCGUGUGUGAAGAAGGCCUUAGGGUUGUAAAGCACUUUCAGUAGGGAGGAAAAGCUGUCGGUUAAUAACCGCCAGCCCUGACGUUACCUACAGAAGAAGCACCGGCAAACUCCGUGCCAGCAGCCGCGGUAAUACGGAGGGUGCGAGCGUUAAUCGGAAUUACUGGGCGUAAAGCGCGCGUAGGCGGCCUGAUAAGUUGGAUGUGAAAGCCCCGGGCUCAACCUGGGAACUGCGUUCAAAACUGUCAGGCUAGAGUAUGGUAGAGGAUAGUGAAAUUUCCGGUGUAGCGGUGAAAUGCGUAGAGAUCGGAAAGGAACAUCAGUGGCGAAGGCGGCUAUCUGGACCAAUACUGACGCUGAGGUGCGAAAGCGUGGGGAGCAACAGGAUUAGAUACCCUGUAGUCCACGCCGUAAACGAUGUCAACUAGCCGUUGGGGGGCCUUGUCC